RNAcentral lists this ribosomal RNA (504 nucleotides) under uncultured bacterium. RNAcentral describes it as "partial 16S ribosomal RNA". It matches the Rfam family "Bacterial small subunit ribosomal RNA", at positions 29 to 523 of the family's 1533-position model. The record is from RNAcentral.
AUUGAACGCUGGCGGCAGGCCUAACACAUGCAAGUCGAGCGGAAACGAAGGGAGCUUGCUCCCAGGCGUCGAGCGGCGGACGGGUGAGUAACACGUGAGAAUCUGCCCCUUAGUGGGGGACAACUCGGGGAAACUCGAGCUAAUACCGCAUAAUCCCUACGGGGGAAAGCAGGGGACCUUUUGGCCUUGCGCUGAUGGAUGAGCCCACGUCGGGUUAGCUGGUUGGUGAGGUAAAGGCUCACCAAGGCGACGAUCCGUAGCUGGUCUGAGAGGAGGAUCAGCCACACUGGGACUGAGACACGGCCCAGACACCUACGGGAGGCAGCAGUGGGGAAUCUUGGACAAUGGGGGCAACCCUGAUCCAGCCAUGCCGCGUGUGUGAAGAAGGCCUUCGGGUUGUAAAGCACUUUCAGCAGGGAGGAAGGCUUUGGCCGAAUAGGUUGAAGUACUUGACGUUACCUGCAGAAGAAGCACCGGCUAAUUUCGUGCCAGCCGCCGCCGUAA